Molecule: transfer RNA, 72 nt
Filed under: Camelus bactrianus (Bactrian camel)
Lineage: Eukaryota; Metazoa; Chordata; Mammalia; Artiodactyla; Camelidae
Also listed under: 3 other names
Rfam family: tRNA
About the family: Transfer RNA (tRNA) molecules are approximately 80 nucleotides in length. Their secondary structure includes four short double-helical elements and three loops (D, anti-codon, and T loops).
Source: Rfam by way of RNAcentral
ACAGGUAUAGCUCAGUGGUAGAGCGUGUGCCUAGCAUGCACGAGGUCCUGGGUUCAAUCCCCAGUACUUCCA